RNAcentral lists this ribosomal RNA (403 nucleotides) under Verrucomicrobiota bacterium. Its description in RNAcentral is "Verrucomicrobia bacterium partial 16S ribosomal RNA". It matches the Rfam family "Bacterial small subunit ribosomal RNA", at positions 355 to 776 of the family's 1533-position model. Lineage: Bacteria; Pseudomonadati; Verrucomicrobiota. The record is from RNAcentral.
UGGGGAAUCUUGCACAAUGGGGGCAACCCUGAUGCAGCGACGCCGCGUGAGCGAUGAAGGUUUUCGAAUCGUAAAGCUCUGUCCUAUGGGAAGAUAAUGACGGUACCAUAGGAGGAAGCCCCGGCUAACUACGUGCCAGCAGCCGCGGUAAUACGUAGGGGGCGAGCGUUGUCCGGAAUUACUGGGCGUAAAGGGUUCGCAGGCGGCAUGGCAAGUCCGAUGUAAAAGGUGAAGGCUCAACCUUCGUAAGCAUCGGAAACUGUCAAGCUUGAGUGAAGGAGAGGCAAGUGGAAUUCCUAGUGUAGCGGUGGAAUGCGUAGAUAUUAGGAGGAAUACCGGUGGCGAAGGCGACUUGCUGGACUUCAACUGACGCUGAGGAACGAAAGCGUGGGUAGCAAACAGG